Molecule: ribosomal RNA, 1725 nt
Filed under: Cypretta sp. SFH-2011
Lineage: Eukaryota; Metazoa; Arthropoda; Ostracoda; Podocopida; Cyprididae
Description: SSU rRNA
Rfam family: Eukaryotic small subunit ribosomal RNA
Source: RNAcentral
GUCUCAAAGAUUAAGCCAUGCAGGUCUAAGUAUAAGCCGAAAUAAAGUGAAACCGCGAAUGGCUCAUUACAUCAGUUAUGGUUCCUUAGAUCUUCGGUAUCCUACUUGGAUAACCCUGGAAAUUCUAGAGCUAAUACAUGCGUAUGUAGCCCUGACCUUCGGGAACGGGCGUUUUUGUUAGACCAAAACCAAUCAGGGAGCAAUCUCUGGCAAUUUGGUGAGUCUGAACAACCUUGAGCGGAUCGCACGGUCUUGUACUGGCGACAACUCUUUCAAAUGUCUGCCUUAUCAACUUGAUGGUAGGUUAUGUGCCUACCAUGGUGAUAACGGGUAACGGAGAAUCAGGGUUCGAUGCCGGAGAGGGAGCCUGAGAAACGGCUACCACAUCCAAGGAAGGCAGCAGGCACGCAAAUUACCCACUCCCGGCACGGGGAGGUAGUGACGAAAAAUAACAAUACGGGACUCAUCCGAGGCCCCGUAAUUGGAAUGAGUACACUUCAAAUCCUUUAACGAGGAUCCAUUGGAGGGCAAGUCUGGUGCCAGCAGCCGCGGUAAUUCCAGCUCCAAUAGCGUAUAUUAAAGUUGCUGCGGUUAAAAAGCUCGUAGUUGGAUCUCAGUUACGGGCAGGUGGUUCACCUCACGGUGCUACUACCUGGUCCGGACCUAUUGCUGGUGCCCCCUAGGUGCCCUUCAUUGGGUGCCUGGGGAGACCAGAGCGUUUACUUUGAAAAAUUUGGAGUGCUCAAAGCAGGCGAAUGCCUGAACAGUCGUGCAUGGGAAUAAUGGAAAAGGGCCUCGGUGCUAUUUUGUGGUUCUCGGCACUCGAGUAAUGGUUGAAGGGACAGACGGGGCAUUCGUAAUGCGACGUUAGAGGUGAAAUUCUUAGAUCGUCCCAAGACGGACUACUGCAAAGCAUUUGCCAAGAAUGUUUUCAUUAAUCAAGAGCGAAGGUCAGAGGUUCGAAGGCGAUCAGAUACCGCCCUAGUUCUGACCUUAAACGAUGCCAACUGGCGAUCCGUCGGGGGUAAUUCCAUGACCUGACGGGCAGCUUCCGGGAAACCAAAAGUUUUUGGGUUCCGGGGGAAGUAUGGUUGCAAAGCUGGAACUUAAAGGAAUUGACGGAAGGGCACCACCAGGAGUGGAGCCUGUGGCUUAAUUUGGACUCAACACGGGAAACCUCACCAGGCCCAGACACUAGAAGGAUUGACAGAUUGAGAGCUCUUUCUUGAUUUGGUGGUUGGUGGUGCAUGGCCGUUCUUAGUUGGUGGAGUGAUUUGUCUGGUUAAUUCCGAUAACGAACGAGACUCUGGCCUACUAAAUAGAUGAUGGAUCUUUGAGUCCAUUAUGUCUUCUUAGAGGGACAAGGCAGCUCCAAGCUGCGUGAAAUGGGGCAAUAACAGGUCUGUGAUGCCCUUAGAUGUUCUGGGCCGCACACGCGCUACACUGAAGGAGACAACGUGUUUGUCUGGCUCGAAAGAGUCGGGUAACCCGUUUAAUCUCCUUCGUGCUGGGGAUUGAGGUUUGCAAUUGUCCCUCAUGAACGAGGAAUUCCCAGUAAGUGCAAGUCAUAAGCUUGCGCUGACUACGUCCCUGCCCUUUGUACACACCGCCCGUCGCUACUACCGAUUGAAUGAUUUAGUGAGGACUUCGGACUGAGACCGAUGCGGCUUUCGGGUUGCGUCGGAUAUUUGGAAAGAUGUCCAAAUCUGUAGCAUUUAGAGGAAU